GAUGAACGCUGGCGGCGUGCCUAGUACAUGCAAGUCGAGCGAACAGACGAGGAGCUUGCUCCCCUGACGUUAGCGGCGGACGGGUGAGUAACACGUGGAUAACCUACCUAUAAGACUGGGAUAACUUCGGGAAACCGGAGCUAAUACCGGAUAAUAUAUUGAACCGCAUGGUUCAAUAGUGAAGGACGGUUUUGCUGUCACUUAUAGAUGGAUCCGCGCCGCAUUAGCUAGUUGGUAAGGUAACGGCUUACCAAGGCGACGAUGCGUAGCCGACCUGAGAGGGUGAUCGGCCACACUGGAACUGAGACACGGUCCAGACUCCUACGGGAGGCAGCAGUAGGGAAUCUUCCGCAAUGGGCGAAAGCCUGACGGAGCAACGCCGCGUGAGUGAUGAAGGUCUUCGGAUCGUAAAACUCUGUUAUUAGGGAAGAACAAAUGUGUAAGUAACUAUGCACGUCUUGACGGUACCUAAUCAGAAAGCCACGGCUAACUACGUG
RNAcentral lists this ribosomal RNA (497 nucleotides) under uncultured bacterium. Its description in RNAcentral is "partial 16S ribosomal RNA". It matches the Rfam family "Bacterial small subunit ribosomal RNA", at positions 28 to 507 of the family's 1533-position model. The record is from RNAcentral.